This 60-nucleotide transfer RNA is filed under the name Ixodes scapularis (black-legged tick). It matches the Rfam family "tRNA", at positions 7 to 64 of the family's 71-position model. From Rfam's summary of the family: Transfer RNA (tRNA) molecules are approximately 80 nucleotides in length. Their secondary structure includes four short double-helical elements and three loops (D, anti-codon, and T loops). Lineage: Eukaryota; Metazoa; Arthropoda; Arachnida; Ixodida; Ixodidae. The record is from Rfam by way of RNAcentral.
UUAGAUUAGUUGGUAGAGCGCUCCACUGGAAAUGGAGAGGUCCCGGGUUCGAUACCCGGA